AACGAACGCUGGCGGCAGGCUUAACACAUGCAAGUCGAACGAGAUCUUCGGAUCUAGUGGCAGACGGGUGAGGAACACGUGGGAACAUCCCUUUCAGUUCGGAAUAACGUUGGGAAACUAACGCUAAUACCGGAUACGUCCUUCGGGAGAAAGAUUUAUCGCUGAAAGAUUGGCCCGCGUCUGAUUAGCUAGUUGGUGAGGUAAUGGCUCACCAAGGCGACGAUCAGUAGCUGGUCUGAGAGGAUGAUCAGCCACACUGGGACUGAGUCACGGCCCAGACUCCUACGGGAGGCAGCAGUGGGGAAUAUUGGACGAUGGGGGCAACCCUGAUCCAGCCAUGCCGCGUGAGUGAUGAAGGCCUUAGGGUUGUAAAACUCUUUUAUCCGGGAAGAUAAUGACUGUACCGGAAGAAUAAGCCCCGGCUAACUUCGUGCCAGCCGCCGCCGUAA
This 449-nucleotide ribosomal RNA is filed under the name uncultured bacterium. Its description in RNAcentral is "partial 16S ribosomal RNA". It matches the Rfam family "Bacterial small subunit ribosomal RNA", at positions 29 to 523 of the family's 1533-position model. The record is from RNAcentral.